RNAcentral lists this ribosomal RNA (1499 nucleotides) under metagenome. RNAcentral describes it as "bacterial SSU rRNA". It matches the Rfam family "Bacterial small subunit ribosomal RNA". The record is from RNAcentral.
AGAGUUUGAUCAUGGCUCAGAUUGAACGCUGGCGGCAGGCCUAACACAUGCAAGUCGAACGGUAACAGGAAACAGCUUGCUGUUUCGCUGACGAGUGGCGGACGGGUGAGUAAUGUCUGGGAAACUGCCUGAUGGAGGGGGAUAACUACUGGAGACGGUAGCUAAUACCGCAUAACGUCGCAAGACCAAAGAGGGGGACCCUCGGGCCUCUUGCCAUCGGAUGUGCCCAGAUGGGAUUAGCUUGUUGGUGGGGUAACGGCUCACCAAGGCGACGAUCCCUAGCUGGUCUGAGAGGAUGACCAGCCACACUGGAACUGAGACACGGUCCAGACUCCUACGGGAGGCAGCAGUGGGGAAUAUUGCACAAUGGGCGCAAGCCUGAUGCAGCCAUGCCGCGUGUAUGAAGAAGGCCUUCGGGUUGUAAAGUACUUUCAGCGGGGAGGAAGGGAGUAAAGUUAAUACCUUUGCUCAUUGACGUUACCCGCAGAAGAAGCACCGGCUAACUCCGUGCCAGCAGCCGCGGUAAUACGGAGGGUGCAAGCGUUAAUCGGAAUUACUGGGCGUAAAGCGCACGCAGGCGGUUUGUUAAGUCAGAUGUGAAAUCCCCGGGCUCAACCUGGGAACUGCAUCCAAAACUACUGAGCUAGAGUACGGUAGAGGGUGGUGGAAUUUCCUGUGUAGCGGUGAAAUGCGUAGAGAUCUGGAGGAAUACCGGUGGCGAAGGCGGCCCCCUGGACGAAGACUGACGCUCAGGUGCGAAAGCGUGGGGAGCAAACAGGAUUAGAUACCCUGGUAGUCCACGCCGUAAACGAUGUCGACUUGGAGGUUGUGCCCUUGAGGCGUGGCUUCCGGAGCUAACGCGUUAAGUCGACCGCCUGGGGAGUACGGCCGCAAGGUUAAAACUCAAAUGAAUUGACGGGGGCCCGCACAAGCGGUGGAGCAUGUGGUUUAAUUCGAUGCAACGCGAAGAACCUUACCUGGUCUUGACAUCCACGGAAGUUUUCAGAGAUGAGAAUGUGCCUUCGGGAACCGUGAGACAGGUGCUGCAUGGCUGUCGUCAGCUCGUGUUGUGAAAUGUUGGGUUAAGUCCCGCAACGAGCGCAACCCUUAUCCUUUGUUGCCAGCGGUCCGGCCGGGAACUCAAAGGAGACUGCCAGUGAUAAACCGAGGAAGGUGGGGAUGACGUCAAGUCAUCAUGGCCCUUACGACCAGGGCUACACACGUGCUACAAUGGCGCAUACAAAGAGAAGCGACCUCGCGAGAGCAAGCGGACCUCAUAAAGUGCGUCGUAGUCCGGAUUGGAGUCUGCAACUCGACUCCAUGAAGUCGGAAUCGCUAGUAAUCGUGGAUCAGAAUGCCACGGUGAAUACGUUCCCGGGCCUUGUACACACCGCCCGUCACACCAUGGGAGUGGGUUGCAAAAGAAGUAGGUAGCUUAACCUUCGGGAGGGCGCUUACCACUUUGUGAUUCAUGACUGGGGUGAAGUCGUAACAAGGUA